RNAcentral lists this ribosomal RNA (443 nucleotides) under uncultured organism. Its description in RNAcentral is "bacterial SSU rRNA". It matches the Rfam family "Bacterial small subunit ribosomal RNA", at positions 28 to 507 of the family's 1533-position model. The record is from RNAcentral.
GAUGAACGCUGGCGGCGUGCCUAACACAUGCAAGUCGAACGGAAAGGCCCUUCGGGGUACUCGAGUGGCGGACGGCUGAGUAACGCGUGGGAACGUGCCCCAAAGUGAGGGAUAACUUCGAGAAAUCGGAGCUAAUACCGCAUAUGAUCUUCGGAUUAAAGAAUUUAUUCGCUUUGGGAGCGGCCUGCGUCGGAUUAGGUUGUUGGUGAGGUAAUGGCUCACCAAGCCGACGAUCCGUAGCUGGUCUGAGAGGAUGACCAGCCAGACUGGAACUGAGACACGGUCCAGACUCCUACGGGAGGCAGCAGUGAGGAAUCUUCCACAAUGGGCGAAAGCCUGAUGGAGCAACGCCGCGUGCAGGAUGAAUGCCUUCGGGUUGUAAACUGCUUUUAUAAGUGAAGAAUAUGACGGUAACUUAUGAAUAAGGAUCGGCUAACUACGUG